Molecule: ribosomal RNA, 442 nt
Filed under: uncultured bacterium
Lineage: Bacteria
Description: partial 16S ribosomal RNA
Rfam family: Bacterial small subunit ribosomal RNA
Source: RNAcentral
CUACGGGGGGCUCCAGUGGGGAAUAUUGCGCAAUGGGGGAAACCCUGACGCAGCAAUGCCGCGUGAGUGAUUGAAGGUCUUCGGAUCGUAAAGCUCUGUUAUCGGGGAAGAAGAAGUGACGGUACCCGAUGAGAAAGCCCCGGCUAACUACGUGCCAGCAGCCGCGGUAAUACGUAGGGGGCAAGCGUUGUCCGGAAUCACUGGGCGUAAAGGGCGCGUAGGCGGGUUACCAAGUCAGGUGUGAAAGGUCAGAGCUCAACUCUGAGAGUGCACUUGAAACUAGUAACCUUGAGUACUGGAGAGGUAAGCGGAAUUCCUAGUGUAGCGGUGAAAUGCGUAGAGAUUAGGAGGAACACCAGUGGCGAAGGCGGCUUACUGGACAGAUACUGACGCUGAAGUGCGAAAGCGUGGGGAGCGAACAGGAUUAGAUACCCCCGUAGUC